CAGUAGCCGCGGGAAUACGUAGGGUGCAAGCGUUAAUCAGAAUUACUGGGCGUAAAGCGUGCGCAGGCGGUUAUGUAAGACAGUUGUGAGAUCCCCGGGCUCAACCAGGGAACUGCAUCUGUGACUGCAUAGCUAGAGUACGGUAGAGGGGGAUGGAAUUCCGCGUGUAGCAGUGACAUGCGUAGAUAUGCGGAGGAACACCGAUGGCGAAGGCAAUCCCCUGGACCUGUACUGACGCUCAUGCACGAAAGCGUGGGGAGCAAACAGGAUUAGAUACCCGUGUAGUCCCUGUCUCUUAUAA
This 301-nucleotide ribosomal RNA is filed under the name uncultured bacterium. RNAcentral describes it as "partial 16S ribosomal RNA". It matches the Rfam family "Bacterial small subunit ribosomal RNA", at positions 509 to 809 of the family's 1533-position model. The record is from RNAcentral.